Molecule: ribosomal RNA, 254 nt
Filed under: uncultured bacterium
Lineage: Bacteria
Description: partial 16S ribosomal RNA
Rfam family: Bacterial small subunit ribosomal RNA
Source: RNAcentral
UACGGAGGGGGCAAGCGUUGUUCGGAUUUACUGGGCGUAAAGGGUGUGUAGGCGGCUGGAUAAGUCUGGCGUGAAAUCUUCACCGCUCAACGGGAAGGGGUCGCUGGAAACUGUUCAGCUUGAGUAUGGUAGAGGCAAACGGAAUUCCUGGUGUAGCGGUGGAAUGUGUAGAUAUCAGGAAGAACACCGGUGGCGAAGGCGGUUUGCUGGGCCAUUACUGACGCUGAGACACGAAAGCGUGGGGAGCAAACGGG